RNAcentral lists this small nucleolar RNA (130 nucleotides) under Erinaceus europaeus (western European hedgehog). RNAcentral describes it as "Small nucleolar RNA SNORA17". It matches the Rfam family "Small nucleolar RNA SNORA17". From Rfam's summary of the family: snoRNA ACA 17 belongs to the H/ACA family of snoRNAs and is predicted to guide pseudouridylation of the 28S rRNA at positions U4659 and U4598. It shares the same host gene together with ACA43. NB This family has a high threshold value to exclude a large number of closely related sequences that do not appear to have conserved H and ACA boxes, and may be pseudogenes. Lineage: Eukaryota; Metazoa; Chordata; Mammalia; Eulipotyphla; Erinaceidae. The record is from Rfam by way of RNAcentral.
GGUGCCCCUAAGGGCAUUACUGAUGUGACUGCUGUGUCACAUGUGUGUCAUUGGUGGCAGAGAGAAGAGAGGCUUGUCUACAUCCAGUGCUCUGACCUCUGAGCAAAUGGGUGAUUGAUAGUCUGACACU